ACGACAUCGAAAGCUUGCUUUUGAUGGGCGUCGACCGGCGCACGGGUGAGUAACGCGUAUCCAACCUGCCCACCACUUGGGGAUAACCUUGCGAAAGUAAGACUAAUACCCAAUGAUAUCUCUGGAAGACAUCUGAAAGAGAUUAAAGAUUUAUCGGUGAUGGAUGGGGAUGCGUCUGAUUAGCUUGUUGGCGGGGUAACGGCCCACCAAGGCAACGAUCAGUAGGGGUUCUGAGAGGAAGGUCCCCCACAUUGGAACUGAGACACGGUCCAAACUCCUACGGGAGGCAGCAGUGAGGAAUAUUGGUCAAUGGACGAGAGUCUGAACCAGCCAAGUAGCGUGCAGGAUGACGGCCCUAUGGGUUGUAAACUGCUUUUAUAAGGGAAUAAAGUGGGAGUCGUGACUCCUUUUGCAUGUACCUUAUGAAUAAGGACCGGCUAAUUCCGUGCCAGCAGCCGCGGUAAUACGGAAGGUCCGGGCGUUAUCCGGAUUUAUUGGGUUUAAAGGGAGCGUAGGCCGGAGAUUAAGCGUGUUGUGAAAUGUAGAUGCUCAACAUCUGCACUGCAGCGCGAACUGGUUUCCUUGAGUACGCACAAAGUGGGCGGAAUUCGUGGUGUAGCGGUGAAAUGCUUAGAUAUCACGAAGAACUCCGAUUGCGAAGGCAGCUCACUGGAGCGCAACUGACGCUGAAGCUCGAAAGUGCGGGUAUCGAACAGGAUUAGAUACCCUGGUAGUCCGCACGGUAAACGAUGGAUGCCCGCUGUUGGUCUGAAUAGGUCAGCGGCCAAGCGAAAGCAUUAAGCAUCCCACCUGGGGAGUACGCCGGCAACGGUGCAACUCAAAGGAAUUGACGG
Molecule: ribosomal RNA, 854 nt
Filed under: uncultured Bacteroidota bacterium
Lineage: Bacteria; Pseudomonadati; Bacteroidota
Description: bacterial SSU rRNA
Rfam family: Bacterial small subunit ribosomal RNA
Source: RNAcentral